GGGGUUGUGGCUCAGUGGUACAGCAUUUGCCUAGCAUGUACAAGGCCCUGGGUUCGAUCCUCAGCACCA
RNAcentral lists this transfer RNA (69 nucleotides) under Ictidomys tridecemlineatus (thirteen-lined ground squirrel). RNAcentral's name for it is "Spermophilus tridecemlineatus (thirteen-lined ground squirrel) tRNA". It matches the Rfam family "tRNA". From Rfam's summary of the family: Transfer RNA (tRNA) molecules are approximately 80 nucleotides in length. Lineage: Eukaryota; Metazoa; Chordata; Mammalia; Rodentia; Sciuridae. The record is from Rfam by way of RNAcentral.